This is a long non-coding RNA of Lolium rigidum, 524 nucleotides long. RefSeq lists it as uncharacterized. Lineage: Eukaryota; Viridiplantae; Streptophyta; Magnoliopsida; Poales; Poaceae. The record is from RefSeq and is a predicted model, not a curated record. The transcript is spliced from 4 exons.
GAUCAAGGGGGCACAAUGAAGUCUGUUGUCCAAUACUUCCGUGGAAGACAUAUGGCUUUGCUAUCCAGCAUACCUACCUCUUAUCUCUGGAAGUCCGCAAUCAAAAGCGUCUAAUUUUCCCCCCAUGGAGGUCUGCAAAAUAGUGGAAGGGACAAAGAUACUCCAAGAGACUGACCUGGAGUCAGAUAAGAGCUCUUUUAGAGAGGACAUGCCAGCACCCACAUGAUCGGUAGCGUGACCUACUUCAAAUGGUGAAUCACAAGUCUUAUCACGAUGAUCCUUACACAAAAGAGUUUGGCAUCAACAUCAGUGAGCGGCGUGCAUAGCUUGAGGCAUGGGUUUUACCUGCUCUUUGGCUUAAGUACAACACGGCCGGUAGAGAGAAGGAUUACCUGCCUAGUGUUGGCCAGUGGAACAUGAUGAACAAAAAAUGGUCAAUGGUGGUAAAGUCAGGAGCUGGAUGUACAAGACAGUGUUGGGAUUCUGUCGUGAACUCGCUCGCAUGUGGCAGGUCUCAGGAAUGG